This 437-nucleotide ribosomal RNA is filed under the name uncultured bacterium. RNAcentral's name for it is "bacterial SSU rRNA". It matches the Rfam family "Bacterial small subunit ribosomal RNA", at positions 28 to 473 of the family's 1533-position model. The record is from RNAcentral.
GAUGAACGCUGGCGGCGUGCUUAACACAUGCAAGUCGAACGGGAUCCCAGGAGCUUGCUCCUGGGUGAGAGUGGCGAACGGGUGAGUAAUGCGUGACCGACCUGCCCCAUACACCGGAAUAGCUCCUGGAAACGGGUGGUAAUGCCGGAUGCUCCGACAUGACGCAUGUCGUGUCGGGAAAGAUUCAUCGGUAUGGGAUGGGGUCGCGUCCUAUCAGCUUGAUGGCGGGGUAACGGCCCACCAUGGCUUCGACGGGUAGCCGGCCUGAGAGGGCGACCGGCCACAUUGGGACUGAGAUACGGCCCAGACUCCUACGGGAGGCAGCAGUGGGGAAUAUUGCACAAUGGGCGCAAGCCUGAUGCAGCGACGCCGCGUGCGGGAUGACGGCCUUCGGGUUGUAAACCGCUUUUGACUGGGAGCAAGCCCUUCGGGGUGAG